CCCCUGUUUAAAACACAAAUAACGCGUGUUUAAUAUUACAAUAAUAUCCCGAUAAUAUUCAAACAAAACUUAAAAUACAUUUUUCACUUACUCAGCUCCCGAAAUAUCCAUUAGGAGGGCUUCACAUACUCUGUUAUCUGUCCUGGGACUGCUGCCUGUUGUCUUACGACGUCGUUCAGAGUGCACACUUUUCUUUUUUUAAUAUAUAAAUAUUCUUGGGUAUGUGAUUAUUUGGACUUACGCCUAAAAAUGUGUGAUCGUGAAGGGCUACGUAAAGGACAGGGCGCCGUUUGCUUCUGAGAAUCUACGUCUAACAGUCGCUUCCCAAUCACUUAUGUCCAGUAGCCUUCAGAAAUAUCCAUUAGGAGGGCUUUACAGACUAUGCUAUCUGUCCUGGCAGUUAAAUAUUCGGGCCUUUGGGUUUGCGCUAAAGCCGUGCUAAACGUGUUAAAAAUAGACGUUCUGUCCCUAACUUGUUAAAGUACGGAAUGAGUUUCGAGAGAUAGCCUGUAUGCAACCAACUAACUGUAUGUUUGCUUUAGACCAAAAGGCUGUGAAUUCAAAGAGCCGUUCUGUCAUGCUUUUUGUUUGGGGGGUCCUGGGGGGCGUUGAUUAGAUAUCCAGGUUUAACCCCGGGCGGUCGGCCGAUACCAUGACAUGUCAUAUGCUGGAUAGUUCAAACUUUGAAUUUCAAACGAUUCUCUACAGAUGGGACCCCAUGUUGAACCCACACAAACAACCCCUUUGUUUUUUGAAACGCACACACACACACUCCUGCUGCUCCGUCACACGCACACUCAUGCACGCACCCUGAUUUUCAAUGUCUUUUUCUUCGCGACAGAGUUGGCUGAAGAUGUGAAAUACCGUUUCACAUAGUUACGGACGGGGUUGAUGGCUGGAAAGGACAUUUUCCCUUCGUUAAAGGAUAGAUGGUCCGGUUAGCCACGACCAUUAUCCAUUUCAAAUUCAUCAACUCAAAGACGCUUGUCCGCUCCAUCAAAACUCCGUAAGUUUUCCCUCCAUGUGUAGAUCAACCGUUCCUGCCUGUAAAUCCUGGGUAUGCCCACAUCAUUAAUGAAUAAGAUGUGUAGAAAACUGUUUAGCCAUAGUUAAAGGCCUUUCAUAAAGAGUCUGUCAUGAUUGCCUGUGCCACACGUAUUGCUUGUUACCUAAUACUACUGUUGUACAUUUAAUAUCCACUAGCAGAUUUCGUCGCAUUUGCACAAAUUCGGUCAUGUUACUGUGGUCUUUUUAAAUGUCAGUAAAUAUGUGUGUAAAGUGUAUAUGUUUGUUUCACUGUAGAUUUGUUUAAGCCCUCCUAGAAACACCUAAUUAAAGGCCUUUCAUAAAGAGGCUGUCAUGAUUGCCUGUGCCACAUGUUUAACACGUAUUGCUUGUUACCUAAUACUACUGUUGUACAUUUAAUAUCCACUAGCAGAUUUCGUCGCAUUUGCACAAAUUCGGUCAUGUUACUGUGGUCUUUUUAAAUGUCAGUAAAUAUGUGUGUAAAGUGUAUAUGUUUGUUUCACUGUAGAUUUGUUUAAGCCCUCCUAGAAACACAUAAUUAAAGGCCUUUCAUAAAGAGGCUGUCAUGAUUGCCUGUGCCACAUGUUUAACACGUAUUGCUUGUUACAGAAUACUACUGUUGUACAUUUAAUAUCCCCUAGCAGAUUUCGUUGCGUUUGCACAAAUUCUGUCAUGUUACUGUGGUAUUUUUAAAAGUCAAUAAAUAUGUGUGUAAAGUGUACAUGUUUGUUUCACUGUAGAUUUGUUUAAGCCCUCCUAGAAACACCUCAUUUCAUCCCACAGCCUUAAUUAAUAAGCUGUGCAGAAGCUGUUUAGCCAUAAGUAAAGGCCUUUCAUAAAGUGGCUGUCAUGAUAAACCUGAAAUUACCUUUAGGAUCUUUUCUUUGGGGUUCUAAUCUCCCCAGGUGUACAUGCACUGAAAAUCCUUAGGCUGGAGCCAUCUUGAAGCUCUGUGCCUGUACAUAUAAAGAGAACUAAAUAGGAAACUAGGCUGAGAAACAUUAUUUAGAUGGCUGUUUAAUUGUUGUUUAAAGCCUGAAAUGGACACAAUGCCAAGGGACCUUGUUUCUAACACACACACACACAUACAGACACACAUUCCUGCUCCAUAGAUAACAAACAUAAGGGCAAUAAAACUGGGGGGGUCAUACCCGGUCCAAAAGUUCAAACACAACAACCACAGUUCAACCAGGCCCCUAGACAUCCAUCAACUGGACUACUUCA
Oncorhynchus mykiss (rainbow trout) is the source of this 2250-nucleotide long non-coding RNA. RefSeq lists it as uncharacterized. The record is from RefSeq and is a predicted model, not a curated record. Lineage: Eukaryota; Metazoa; Chordata; Actinopteri; Salmoniformes; Salmonidae.